AGUGAACGCUGGCGGUAGGCCUAACACAUGCAAGUCGAACGGCAGCACAGGAGAGCUUGCUCUCUGGGUGGCGAGUGGCGGACGGGUGAGGAAUACAUCGGAAUCUACUCUGUCGUGGGGGAUAACGUAGGGAAUCUUACGCUAAUACCGCAUACGACCUACGGGUGAAAGCAGGGGACCUUCGGGCCUUGCGCGAUUGAAUGAGCCGAUGUCGGAUUAGCUAGUUGGCGGGGUAAAGGCCCACCAAGGCGACGAUCCGUAGCUGGUCUGAGAGGAUGAUCAGCCACACUGGAACUGAGACACGGUCCAGACUCCUACGGGAGGCAGCAGUGGGGAAUAUUGGACAAUGGGCGCAAGCCUGAUCCAGCCAUACCGCGUGGGUGAAGAAGGCCUUCGGGUUGUAAAGCCCUUUUGUUGGGAAAGAAAUCCAGCUGGCUAAUACUCGGUUGGGAUGACGGUACCCAAAGAAUAAGCACCGGCUAACUUCGUGCCAGCAGCCGCUGUAA
This 506-nucleotide ribosomal RNA is filed under the name uncultured bacterium. RNAcentral's name for it is "partial 16S ribosomal RNA". It matches the Rfam family "Bacterial small subunit ribosomal RNA", at positions 29 to 523 of the family's 1533-position model. The record is from RNAcentral.